AACGAACGCUGGCGGCAUGCCUAACACAUGCAAGUCGAACGAGACCUUCGGGUCUAGUGGCGCACGGGUGCGUAACGCGUGGGAACCUGCCCUUAGGUUCGGAAUAACUCCCCGAAAGGGGUGCUAAUACCGGAUAAUGUCUUCGGACCAAAGAUUUAUCGCCUUUGGAUGGGCCCGCGUUGGAUUAGCUAGUUGGUAGGGUAAAAGCCUACCAAGGCGACGAUCCAUAGCUGGUAUGAGAGGAUGAUCAGCCACACUGGGACUGAGACACGGCCCAGACUCCUACGGGAGGCAGCAGUGGGGAAUAUUGGACAAUGGGCGAAAGCCUGAUCCAGCAAGGCCGCGUGAGUGAUGAAGGCCUUAGGGUUGUAAAGCUCUUUUACCCGGGAUGAUAAUGACAGUACCGGGAGAAUAAGCUCCGGCUAACUCCGUG
Molecule: ribosomal RNA, 433 nt
Filed under: uncultured bacterium
Lineage: Bacteria
Description: partial 16S ribosomal RNA
Rfam family: Bacterial small subunit ribosomal RNA
Source: RNAcentral